Molecule: ribosomal RNA, 253 nt
Filed under: uncultured bacterium
Lineage: Bacteria
Description: partial 16S ribosomal RNA
Rfam family: Bacterial small subunit ribosomal RNA
Source: RNAcentral
UACAGAGGUCCCAAGCGUUGUUCGGAUUCACUGGGCGUAAAGGGUGCGUAGGUGGUGAAGUAAGUCGGAUGUGAAAUCUCCAAGCUCAACUUGGAAACUGCAUUGGAAACUACUUUGCUAGAGGAUUUGAGGGGGGAUUGGAAUACUUGGUGUAGCAGUGAAAUGCUUAGAUAUGACACAGAACACCGAUUGCGAAGGCAGCUCACUAAACUGUUACUGACGCUGAGGCACGAAAGCGUGGGGAUCAAACAGG